UCAGGACGAACGCUGGCGGCGUGCUUAACACAUGCAAGUCGAACGAUGAAGCUGGAGCUUGCUCCGGUGGAUUAGUGGCGAACGGGUGAGUAACACGUGAGCAAUCUGCCCUUGACUCUGGGAUAACUGCGGGAAACUGUAGCUAAUACCGGAUACGACACCUUGGGGCAUCCCAGGGUGUGGAAAGAAUUUCGGUCAAGGAUGAGCUCGCGGCCUAUCAGCUAGUUGGUGAGGUAAUGGCUCACCAAGGCGACGACGGGUAGCCGGCCUGAGAGGGUGACCGGCCACACUGGAACUGAGACACGGUCCAGACUCCUACGGGAGGCAGCAGUGGGGAAUAUUGCACAAUGGGCGAAAGCCUGAUGCAGCAACGCCGCGUGAGGGAUGAAGGCCUUCGGGUUGUAAACCUCUUUUAGCAGGGAAGAAGCGAAAGUGACGGUACCUGCAGAAAAGCACCGGCUAACUACGUG
RNAcentral lists this ribosomal RNA (470 nucleotides) under uncultured bacterium. Its description in RNAcentral is "bacterial SSU rRNA". It matches the Rfam family "Bacterial small subunit ribosomal RNA", at positions 24 to 507 of the family's 1533-position model. The record is from RNAcentral.